GAUGAACGCUGGCGGCGUGCCUAAUACAUGCAAGUCGAGCGAACGGACGAGGAGCUUGCUUUUCUUAUGUUAGCGGCGGACGGGUGAGUAACACGUGGAUAACCGACCUAUAAGACUGGGAUAACUUCGGGAAACCGGAUCUAAUACCGGAUAAUAGUUUGAACCGCAUGGUUCAAAAGUGAAAGACGGUUUUGCUGUCACUUAUAGAUGGAUCCGCGCUGCAUUAGCUAGUUGGUAAGGUAACGGCUUACCAAGGCUACGAUGCAUAGCCGACCUGAGAGGGUGAUCGGCCACACUGGAACUGAGACACGGUCCAGACUCCUACGGGAGGCAGCAGUAGGGAAUAUUGCGCAAUGGGCGAAAGCCUGACGGAGCAAAGCCGCGUGAGUGAAGAAGGUCUUCGGAUUGUAAAACUCUUUUAUUAGGGAAGAACAUAAGUGUAAGUAAACGUGGACAUUUUGACGGUACCUAAAGAGAAAGCCACGGCUAACUUCGUG
Molecule: ribosomal RNA, 497 nt
Filed under: uncultured bacterium
Lineage: Bacteria
Description: partial 16S ribosomal RNA
Rfam family: Bacterial small subunit ribosomal RNA
Source: RNAcentral